UGGGGAAUUUUGGACAAUGGGCGAAAGCCUGAUCCAGCAAUGCCGCGUGUGUGAAGAAGGCCUUCGGGUUGUAAAGCACUUUUGUCCGGAAAGAAAUCCUCUGGGUUAAUACCUCGGGGGGAUGACGGUACCGGAAGAAUAAGCACCGGCUAACUACGUGCCAGCAGCCGCGGUAAUACGUAGGGUGCAAGCGUUAAUCGGAAUUACUGGGCGUAAAGCGUGCGCAGGCGGUUUUGUAAGACGGAUGUGAAAUCCCCGGGCUUAACCUGGGAACUGCAUUCGUGACUGCAAGGCUAGAGUAUGGCAGAGGGGGGUAGAAUUCCACGUGUAGCAGUGAAAUGCGUAGAGAUGUGGAGGAAUACCGAUGGCGAAGGCAGCCCCCUGGGCCAAUACUGACGCUCAUGCACGAAAGCGUGGGGAGCAAACAGGAUUAGGAUACCCUGGUAGUCCACGCCCUAAACGAUGUCAACUAGUUGUUGGGGAUUCAUUUCCUUAGUAACGUAGCUAACGCGUGAAGUUGACCGCCUGGGGAGUACGGUCGCAAGAUUAAAACUUAAAGGAAUUGACGGGGUCAUAGCUGUUUCC
This 585-nucleotide ribosomal RNA is filed under the name uncultured bacterium. Its description in RNAcentral is "partial 16S ribosomal RNA". It matches the Rfam family "Bacterial small subunit ribosomal RNA", at positions 355 to 937 of the family's 1533-position model. The record is from RNAcentral.